This 403-nucleotide ribosomal RNA is filed under the name Fusobacteriota bacterium. RNAcentral's name for it is "Fusobacteria bacterium partial 16S ribosomal RNA". It matches the Rfam family "Bacterial small subunit ribosomal RNA", at positions 355 to 776 of the family's 1533-position model. Lineage: Bacteria; Fusobacteriati; Fusobacteriota. The record is from RNAcentral.
UGGGGAAUAUUGCACAAUGGAGGGAACUCUGAUGCAGCGACGCCGCGUGAACGAAGAAGGCUUUCGAGUCGUAAAGUUCUUAUAUAUGGGAAGAUAAUGACGGUACCAUAAGAAAAAGCCCCGGCUAACUACGUGCCAGCAGCCGCGGUAAUACGUAGGGGGCUAGCGUUGUCCGGAAUCACUGGGCGUAAAGGGUUCGCAGGCGGAAAUGCAAGUCAGGUGUAAAAGGCAGUAGCUUAACUACUGUAAGCAUUUGAAACUGCAUAUCUUGAGAAGAGUAGAGGUAAGUGGAAUUUUUAGUGUAGCGGUGAAAUGCGUAGAUAUUAAAAAGAAUACCGGUGGCGAAGGCGACUUACUGGGCUCAUUCUGACGCUGAGGAACGAAAGCGUGGGUAGCAAACAGG